AGCCACCUUCCACCAUCUGUGAAAUAUUACAUUGUUUCAAAGACAGAUAUUUCAUCUUCAAAACAUAUCCUGAUGACCUGGGAACCUUCCUCUUUCCCAGCUGUAUAAUCCUUCUUUACAGGUUUGACUAUAUUGAAUUUAAAAAACUGCCUAAUGAACAGAAAACGUGCCAUGCUCGUGAUUCAAUUUGAUGAAAACAGUUCUUCUGGGAAGAGGAAAGCAGGUGUGCUCUUCUUUGAAGGUUUUUAGUUGCCUGAAGUUGUAGAAAGCUGCAAAGUAAUUGAAUGUUACCAUUAUUGUUGGAAAUGAAGGACAGCACCUUUAUGGUUGAUUUCAGACCUUCAGCCACUAACAGAAAAACACACAAUGUA
Molecule: long non-coding RNA, 371 nt
Filed under: Lepisosteus oculatus (spotted gar)
Lineage: Eukaryota; Metazoa; Chordata; Actinopteri; Semionotiformes; Lepisosteidae
Description: lncRNA (ENSLOCG00000021141.1)
Source: RNAcentral